RNAcentral lists this ribosomal RNA (253 nucleotides) under uncultured bacterium. Its description in RNAcentral is "partial 16S ribosomal RNA". It matches the Rfam family "Bacterial small subunit ribosomal RNA", at positions 524 to 776 of the family's 1533-position model. The record is from RNAcentral.
UACGUAGGGCGCAAGCGUUGUCCGGAAUUAUAGGGCGUAAAGAGCUCGUAGGCGGCUUGUCACGUCGGGUGUGAAAGCCCGGGGCUUAACCCCGGGUCUGCAUUCGAUACGGGCUAGCUAGAGUGUGGUAGGGGAGAUCGGAAUUCCUGGUGUAGCGGUGAAAUGCGCAGAUAUCAGGAGGAACACCGGUGGCGAAGGCGGAUCUCUGGGCCAUUACUGACGCUGAGGAGCGAAAGCGUGGGGAGCGAACAGG